Long non-coding RNA from Salvelinus fontinalis (brook trout), 389 nucleotides. RefSeq lists it as uncharacterized. NCBI's taxonomy places the organism in Eukaryota, Metazoa, Chordata, Actinopteri, Salmoniformes, Salmonidae. The record is from RefSeq and is a predicted model, not a curated record. The transcript is spliced from 3 exons.
GGGAGAGAGAGACAGAGAGCGACAGGGUUAGGUCGGUGGGAGAGAGACAGAGAGCGACAGGGUUAGGUCGCUGGGAGAGAGAGACAGAGAGCGAUAGGGUUAGGUCGGUGGGAGAGAGACAGGGUUAGGUCGGUGGGAGAGAGCGACAGGGUUAGGUCGGUGGGAGAGAGCGACAGGGUUAGGUCGGUGGGAGAGAGACAGGGUUAGGUCGGUGGGAGAGAGACAGGGUUAGGUCGGUGGGAGAGAGACAGGGUUAGGUCGGUGGGAGAGAGACAGGGUUAGGUCGGUGGGAGAGAGACAGGGUUAGGUCGGUGGGAGAGAGAGACAGAGAGCGACAGGGUUAGGUCGGUGGGAGAGAGAGACAGAGAGCGACAGGGUUAGGUCGGUGG